This 253-nucleotide ribosomal RNA is filed under the name uncultured bacterium. Its description in RNAcentral is "partial 16S ribosomal RNA". It matches the Rfam family "Bacterial small subunit ribosomal RNA", at positions 524 to 776 of the family's 1533-position model. The record is from RNAcentral.
UACGUAGGGCGCAAGCGUUAUCCGGAAUUAUUGGGCGUAAAGAGCUCGUAGGCGGUUUGUCGCGUCUGCCGUGAAAGUCCGGGGCUCAACUCCGGAUCUGCGGUGGGUACGGGCAGACUAGAGGUGAUGUAGGGGAGACUGGAAUUCCUGGUGUAGCGGUGAAAUGCGCAGAUAUCAGGAGGAACACCGAUGCGAAGGCAGGUCUCUGGGCAUUAACUGACGCUGAGGAGCGAAAGCAUGGGGAGCGAACAGG